UUUAUUUGAAGAGUUUGAUCAUGGCUCAGAUUGAACNCUGGCGGCAAGCCUCAUACAUGCAAGUUGAACGAGAAAGUAUCUUCGGAUGCGAGUACAGUGGCGGACGGGUGAG
Molecule: ribosomal RNA, 112 nt
Filed under: Gammaproteobacteria bacterium
Lineage: Bacteria; Pseudomonadati; Pseudomonadota; Gammaproteobacteria
Description: partial 16S ribosomal RNA
Rfam family: Bacterial small subunit ribosomal RNA
Source: RNAcentral